UGGAUCACUGUAAAAGGACUUGUCAUCACAGUUACAACGAAUCAAUCUUAGUUUCUCAAAGGAAACUAGAACUAAACAAAAUCCGAGUUUCUAAAGCGGUGGCUACUGAGUUUAUAUCUAAAGGGGCAAACUAGGGUUGGGGGCGACUAGGAAGGGGGCACUCACAACUUAGGCUUAAGGCCUAACACGAUACAAGGCCAAGUUGGCCCAAAACUGGUGACGUAGCACCUUGUUGUAGUCACACAGAAUGAUCUACAAUCCUUCUGGAGCUAGGACCAAAACCAAAAGAACGAUGUCUUCAUCC
This 304-nucleotide long non-coding RNA is filed under the name Setaria viridis. RNAcentral's name for it is "long non-coding RNA (SVIR_LNC001769)". Lineage: Eukaryota; Viridiplantae; Streptophyta; Magnoliopsida; Poales; Poaceae. The record is from RNAcentral.